GACGAACGCUGGCGGCGUGCCUAAUACAUGCAAGUCGAGCGGGCCUCCGGAGGUGCUUGCACCUCCGGAAGGCCAGCGGCGGACGGGUGAGUAACACGUGGGCAACCUGCCUUUGAGGCCGGGAUAACACCGGGAAACCGGUGCUAAUACCGGAUGCGUCCCCUUUCGCGCCUGCGAGAGGGGAGAAAGACGGUCUUUAAGGCCGUCGCUCAAAGAGGGGCCCGCGGCGCGUUAGCUGGUUGGUGGGGUAAGGGCCUACCAAGGCGAUGAUGCGUUGCGGACCGGGGAGGGUGAUCAGCCACAAUGGGACGGAGGCACGGCCCAGAAUCCUGCGGGAGGCAGCAGUAGGGAAUCAUCCGCAAUGGGCGAAAGCCUGACGGUGCAACGCCGCGUGAGUGAGGAAGGUCUUCGGAUCGUAAAGCUCUGUUGUGAGGGAAGAACAGCUUCCGGAGGAAAUGCCGGAGGUUUGCCGGUACCUCACCAGAAAGCCCCGGCUAACUACGUGCCAGCCGCCGCGGUAA
RNAcentral lists this ribosomal RNA (521 nucleotides) under uncultured bacterium. RNAcentral's name for it is "partial 16S ribosomal RNA". It matches the Rfam family "Bacterial small subunit ribosomal RNA", at positions 28 to 523 of the family's 1533-position model. The record is from RNAcentral.